AUGAACGCUGGCGGCGUGCUUAACACAUGCAAGUCGAACGAUGAAGGAAGCUUGCUUCUGGAUUAGUGGCGAACGGGUGAGUAACACGUGAGUAACCUGCCCUUGACUCUGGGAUAAGCACUGGAAACGGUGUCUAAUACCGGAUACGACCUUCAGCCGCAUGGCUAGGGGGUGGAAAGAAUUUUGGUCAAGGAUGGACUCGCGGCCUAUCAGCUUGUUGGUGAGGUAAUGGCUCACCAAGGCGACGACGGGUAGCCG
Molecule: ribosomal RNA, 258 nt
Filed under: Frigoribacterium sp. ISO663_OTU6258
Lineage: Bacteria; Bacillati; Actinomycetota; Actinomycetes; Micrococcales; Microbacteriaceae
Description: partial 16S ribosomal RNA
Rfam family: Bacterial small subunit ribosomal RNA
Source: RNAcentral